This 237-nucleotide long non-coding RNA is filed under the name Lathyrus oleraceus (garden pea). RNAcentral's name for it is "Pisum sativum (pea) long non-coding RNA (PSAT_LNC017961)". Lineage: Eukaryota; Viridiplantae; Streptophyta; Magnoliopsida; Fabales; Fabaceae. The record is from RNAcentral.
GAUGAUAUGCAGGCCAUGAUGCAACGUCUGAUGUUGCAUUUUCCACACGAUCCUCCGCCUCCUCCUCAACAGUGAGCACUGUAAGUCCCCUUCGUGUUUGAAUUUAAACAUUGAGGUCAAUGUUUAGUUCAAGUGUGGGGGGUUUUUUUCGCUUUUCAUGUUUUAUUUUCGUUCAAUUUGUUUUGUUUUUGUUAUGUUAUCAUUAUAUUAGUAUGUGUGUUUGUUUUGUUUGUUUUC